UACGUAGGGGGCUAGCGUUGUCCGGAUUUAUUGGGCGUAAAGAGCGUGUAGGCGGCCAGGUAGGUCUGGUGUGAAAACUCGAGGCUUAACCUUGAGAUGUCAUCGGAAACCAUUUGGCUAGAGUCCGGAAGAGGAGAGUGGAAUUCCUGGUGUAGCGGUGAAAUGCGCAGAUAUCAGGAAGAACACCAAUGGCGAAAGCAGCUUUCUGGGACGGUACUGACGCUGAGACGCGAAAGCGUGGGGAGCGAACAGG
This 253-nucleotide ribosomal RNA is filed under the name uncultured bacterium. RNAcentral's name for it is "partial 16S ribosomal RNA". It matches the Rfam family "Bacterial small subunit ribosomal RNA", at positions 524 to 776 of the family's 1533-position model. The record is from RNAcentral.